RNAcentral lists this ribosomal RNA (433 nucleotides) under uncultured bacterium. RNAcentral describes it as "partial 16S ribosomal RNA". It matches the Rfam family "Bacterial small subunit ribosomal RNA", at positions 29 to 507 of the family's 1533-position model. The record is from RNAcentral.
AACGAACGCUGGCGGCAUGCCUAACACAUGCAAGUCGAACGAGACCUUCGGGUCUAGUGGCGCACGGGUGCGUAACGCGUGGGAACCUGCCCUUAGGUUCGGGAUAACUCCCCGAAAGGGGUGCUAAUACCGGAUAAUGUCUUCGGACCAAAGAUUUAUCGCCUUUGGAUGGGCCCGCGUUGGAUUAGCUAGUUGGUAGGGUAAAAGCCUACCAAGGCGACGAUCCAUAGCUGGUCUGAGAGGAUGAUCAGCCACACUGGGACUGAGACACGGCCCAGACCCCUACGGGAGGCAGCAGUGGGGAAUAUUGGACAAUGGGCGAAAGCCUGAUCCAGCAAUGCCGCGUGAGUGAUGAAGGCCUUAGGGUUGUAAAGCUCUUUUACCCGGGAUGAUAAUGACAGUACCGGGAGAAUAAGCUCCGGCUAACUCCGUG